CUCACAGCUGGUUCUCAAUGCCGGGAGUUCCUUCAAUCACUUCGCCGAAUCCGAAAGCAUUUUGCUGAAGUGUUUGGAGGAACUUCGGGCGUCACUGAACUGC
Molecule: microRNA precursor, 103 nt
Filed under: Picea abies (Norway spruce)
Lineage: Eukaryota; Viridiplantae; Streptophyta; Pinopsida; Pinales; Pinaceae
Description: miR395 stem-loop (pab-MIR395)
Gene: pab-MIR395
Source: miRBase by way of RNAcentral